CUUCAGUGUUGUGUAGUAGUUUCUUUAUGUGUGGUAGGGAUGUAGUGUUUCUGUGUGUAUGCUGGGGAUGUAGUGUGUCUGUGUGUAUGCUGGUGAUGUAGUGUGUCUAUGUGUGUGCUAGGGAUUUAGUGUGUCUAUGUGUGUGCUAGGGAUUUAUUGUGUCUGUGUGUGCUAAGUAUGUAAUGUGUGUGUGUGCUAGGGAUGUAGCGUGUGUGUGUGUUGGGGAUGUAGUGUG
Non-coding RNA from Pelobates cultripes (western spadefoot toad), 235 nucleotides. The record is from the annotation of a GenBank genome assembly. NCBI's taxonomy places the organism in Eukaryota, Metazoa, Chordata, Amphibia, Anura, Pelobatidae.